AUUGAACGCUGGCGGCAGGCCUAACACAUGCAAGUCGAGCGGAUGAGUGGAGCUUGCUCCAUGAUUCAGCGGUGGACGGGUGAGUAAUGCCUAGGAAUCUGCCUGGUAGUGGGGGACAACGUUUCGAAAGGAACGCUAAUACCGCAUACGUCCUACGGGAGAAAGCAGGGGACCUUCGGGCCUUGCGCUAUCAGAUGAGCCUAGGUCGGAUUAGCUAGUUGGUGAGGUAAUGGCUCACCAAGGCGACGAUCCGUAACUGGUCUGAGAGGAUGAUCAGUCACACUGGAACUGAGACACGGUCCAGACUCCUACGGGAGGCAGCAGUGGGGAAUAUUGGACAAUGGGCGAAAGCCUGAUCCAGCCAUGCCGCGUGUGUGAAGAAGGUCUUCGGAUUGUAAAGCACUUUAAGUUGGGAGGAAGGGUAGUAACCUAAUACGUUGCUACUUUGACGUUACCGACAGAAUAAGCACCGGCUAAC
This 478-nucleotide ribosomal RNA is filed under the name uncultured bacterium. RNAcentral's name for it is "bacterial SSU rRNA". It matches the Rfam family "Bacterial small subunit ribosomal RNA", at positions 30 to 501 of the family's 1533-position model. The record is from RNAcentral.